UUGAACGCUGGCGGCAGGCCUAACACAUGCAAGUCGAACGGUAACAGGAAGCAGCUUGCUGCUUYGCUGACGAGUGGCGGACGGGUGAGUAAUGUCUGGGAAACUGCCUGAUGGAGGGGGAUAACUACUGGAAACGGUGGCUAAUACCGCAUAACGUCGCAAGACCAAAGAGGGGGACCUUCGGGCCUCUUGCCAUCAGAUGUGCCCAGAUGGGAUUAGCUAGUUGGUGAGGUAACGGCUCACCAAGGCGACGAUCCCUAGCUGGUCUGAGAGGAUGACCAGCCACACUGGAACUGAGACACGGUCCAGACUCCUACGGGAGGCAGCAGUGGGGAAUAUUGCACAAUGGGCGCAAGCCUGAUGCAGCCAUGCCGCGUGUAUGAAGAAGGCCUUAGGGUUGUAAAGUACUUUCAGCGGGGAGGAAGGUGUUGUGGUUAAUAACCACAGCAAUUGACGUUACCCGCAGAAGAAGCACCGGCUAACUCC
This 486-nucleotide ribosomal RNA is filed under the name Salmonella enterica subsp. enterica serovar Mgulani. Its description in RNAcentral is "bacterial SSU rRNA". It matches the Rfam family "Bacterial small subunit ribosomal RNA", at positions 30 to 504 of the family's 1533-position model. Lineage: Bacteria; Pseudomonadati; Pseudomonadota; Gammaproteobacteria; Enterobacterales; Enterobacteriaceae. The record is from RNAcentral.